Molecule: ribosomal RNA, 253 nt
Filed under: uncultured bacterium
Lineage: Bacteria
Description: partial 16S ribosomal RNA
Rfam family: Bacterial small subunit ribosomal RNA
Source: RNAcentral
UACGAAGGGGGCUAGCGUUGCUCGGAAUCACUGGGCGUAAAGGGUGCGUAGGCGGGUCUUUAAGUCAGGGGUGAAAUCCUGGAGCUCAACUCCAGAACUGCCUUUGAUACUGAGGAUCUUGAGUUCGGGAGAGGUGAGUGGAAUUGCGAGUGUAGAGGUGAAAUUCGUAGAUAUUCGCAAGAACACCAGUGGCGAAGGCGGCUCACUGGCCCGAUACUGACGCUGAGGUGCGAAAGCGUGGGGAGCAAACAGG